Long non-coding RNA from Panonychus citri (citrus red mite), 375 nucleotides. RefSeq lists it as uncharacterized. NCBI's taxonomy places the organism in Eukaryota, Metazoa, Arthropoda, Arachnida, Trombidiformes, Tetranychidae. The record is from RefSeq and is a predicted model, not a curated record. The transcript is spliced from 2 exons.
AUUGAAAGAUAAACACAAAAAGAGAAAAAAAGAGAAAAACCGCCAAAAGAAAUUCAAAUAUCCACCAGUUUAUUUUCUGUUCUUUGAUCGGAUUAACAAAAUUGUCUCUCUUUUAAUUGUUUACUAAACGUGUUUUAAUUAGUUUAAUUAAUUUUUUCUUCUUCAAUUAAAUUACCAGAUUGGUGUUUUACCCUUAGGUUACUUGGAUCUUUUCAUCUACCUUUGGUUUACCGAUUGUUUUGUCUCCAUUCUGUUUGGGUGGUUUGCCUAUUGUUACCAAGCGUUGGAAUAUAAUUUUCUUCAUUGUUUAUUAUUUGAUCUUUGAUUUUAAUCACUUUUCGUGCCAAUUAUAGUUUAAUAUUCCAAAUCUUGAUA